This 551-nucleotide ribosomal RNA is filed under the name uncultured Glomus. RNAcentral describes it as "eukaryotic LSU rRNA". The stretch from base 156 to 309 matches the Rfam family "5.8S ribosomal RNA". Lineage: Eukaryota; Fungi; Glomeromycota; Glomeromycetes; Glomerales; Glomeraceae. The record is from RNAcentral.
GGAAGUAAAAGUCGUAACAAGGUUUCCGUAGGUGAACCUGCGGAAGGAUCAUUACUGAUUUAGCGAACCGAGCGUUAGCGAGGUUUUGCGAUCAACUUGUAUUUAAAACCCACUCUUCAAUGUAUAAAAUUUGUAUUAAUGAUAAAUUAAAAGAUCACUUUCAACAACGGAUCUCUUGGCUCUCGCAUCGAUGAAGAACGUAGCGAAGUGCGAUAAGUAAUGUGAAUUGCAGUAUUCCGUGAAUCAUUGAACCUUUGAACGCAUAUUGCACUUUCUGGUAUUCCGGAAAGUAUGCCUGUUUGAGGGUCAGUUAAAUAAAAAUCGGUGUUGUUGCCGCUUUCCGUGGUGACGCGUCGGAAUUGAGUCGUCUUCGGUUAAGUGACUUAAAAUUUUAUAUGAUUUUCGAACGUAUUUAAAUUUAUUUGAACGUUUGAUAUCGAAUGCUUAUUAGGUUCGGUCAUCCUCAUGACUCGCGCCUAUAAUUUUUCAUUAAACGACCUCAAAUCAGGUAAGAAUACCCGCUGAACUUAAGCAUAUCAAUAAGCGGAGGA